GUCCUACGGGAGGCAGCAGUGGGGAAUAUUGCACAAUGGAGGGAACUCUGAUGCAGCGACGCCGCGUGAGUGAAGAAGUAAUUCGUUAUGUAAAGCUCUAUCAGCAGGGAAGAAAGUGACGGUACCUGAAAAAGAAGCUCCGGCUAAAUACGUGCCAGCAGCCGCGGUAAUACGUAGGGAGCAAGCGUUAUCCGGAUUUACUGGGUGUAAAGGGCGUGUAGGCGGGCCUGCAAGUCAGAAGUGAAAUCUGGGGGCUUAACCCCUAAACUGCUUUUGAAACUGUGGGUCUUGAGUGAUGGAGAGGC
This 305-nucleotide ribosomal RNA is filed under the name uncultured bacterium. RNAcentral describes it as "bacterial SSU rRNA". It matches the Rfam family "Bacterial small subunit ribosomal RNA", at positions 335 to 658 of the family's 1533-position model. The record is from RNAcentral.